CAUGGAGCUUCAAACUCAAGGCAACUCCCAGUAUACAAACCCUCAUAUUUCAAGAGUACUGCGUAACAGUUUUAGGUUGGGGUGACCGCGGAGCAUAAACAAACCUCCACGACGUAUAGAACUAAACCUUUAUCUAAGAGCUACUUCUCUAAGAAUCAGUAAACUGACGUAAAAUGACCCGAUAUCCGAUCAUCGAACCAAGUUACCCUGGGGAUAACAGCGCAAUCCACUUCAAGAGCCCAUAUCGACAAGCGGGUUUACGAC
This 264-nucleotide ribosomal RNA is filed under the name Buergeria robusta (robust Buerger's frog). Its description in RNAcentral is "partial 16S ribosomal RNA". It matches the Rfam family "Bacterial large subunit ribosomal RNA", at positions 2092 to 2524 of the family's 2925-position model. The record is from RNAcentral. Lineage: Eukaryota; Metazoa; Chordata; Amphibia; Anura; Rhacophoridae.